This 336-nucleotide unclassified non-coding RNA is filed under the name soil metagenome. RNAcentral's name for it is "partial contains 5.8S ribosomal RNA, internal transcribed spacer 2, and large subunit ribosomal RNA". The stretch from base 1 to 120 matches the Rfam family "5.8S ribosomal RNA", at positions 35 to 154 of the family's 154-position model. The record is from RNAcentral.
GAUGAAGAACGUAGCGAAAUGCGAUAAGUAAUGUGAAUUGCAGAAUUCAGUGAAUCAUCGAAUCUUUGAACGCACAUUGCGCCCGCUAGUAUUCUGGCGGGCAUGCCUGUUCGAGCGUCAUUUCAACCAUCAAGCCCCAGGCUUGCGUUGGGGACCUGCGGCUGCCGCAGGCCCUGAAAACCAGUGGCGGGCUCGCUGUCACACCGGGCGUAGUAGAUUUUAUCUCGCUCAGGGCGUGCUGCGGGUUCCGGCCGUUAAAAAGCCUUUUUUACCCAAGGUUGACCUCGGAUCAGGUAGGAAGACCCGCUGAACUUAAGCAUAUCAAUAAGCGGAGGA